AGAGGAAAUGGUGGAAUUAGGCUUAUUUGGUGGGAUAUGAUUUGAGAUUUCACACUUGGUUUCCUUCCUUAGGGUUAGGUCACUAGGAUAUUAUAAAUAUAAGAAAAUGUGAGCCUUGGAGAACUAUUUUGGUGGCUUCUGAAUUAUUGAGAGAAAGAGGGAGAGGAGAGCACACAAAAGAGAGAAAGAAAUAGAGAAAGAAGGAGAAGAGGAAAAGGGUUUCAUGAAUCUCUAGGUGGCUAAGGAUUGAGUUGCUUUGUGUUCUUAAACAUUACCAAGGGGGUUUAUAAAGAUCCAAGGAUGUGGUAGAUCUCUAGCGUACCCCGAGCUGAGUGAUGCGCCAGCUCGUGUCUCGGAUGCUAUGCUUUAUAAAUGUUUCCAAUUCGUGCCUAUUGCUUUGUAUUCACCAUUUCGUGCUAUUGAUCUGGGGAAUCGUGCAGCCGUUACAGAUGAAAUAUGAAUUUGUGGAUCAUCUAUUACAGUUUUUGGCUAGCCAGCUGUAUCCGAGCUGACUAAAAGACUCGUGCUGAAUUUUCGGACGUACAAAAAUGUAAACACUAGUAGACUUGUUUGGCGCACAUGGUGAGUUGAGUCAGUUUUUUAUAAGUAUUGUAUGUAUGCUGCGGGGAACCAUUGAACGAGAAAACGAUCUGGAACGCCAUAGUGCCUUAAAAUCUUCCAUUAUGUUAAUUUAUUAAUGGGAUUUACUUAUUUAUUUUUAAGACUGCAUCAAAUCCUCUUUGUUUUGAACAUUGGAUCCAAAUUCUACAUCUAUUUUAGAUAAACAUCCACUGUAUUUUCAGUCAGAUUACGAAAUCUAUAAAAUUAUUAUUAAAAUUAGUAUUUUGAUAGAGAUAUGCAACUAGGGGCGUUAUAGUAAAAAUAAUACAGUGUAUCUUAUAUAACUAAAUGGAUCAUGACUAUGGAUAGACAGGACCAAAUAUAUUACAUUCAUUGGAUUAUUAAGUAAGAACGAACUACCUAAAAUAUUAUCACUAGCAUCUUUGGAUUUUAAUCAUAUAAUAAUUAUCAUUUAUUAUUGUUUUAGCUGACAUUGGAUGUUGGUGUUCGUGAUGAUCCGUGAGACG
Humulus lupulus (European hop) is the source of this 1088-nucleotide long non-coding RNA. RefSeq lists it as uncharacterized. NCBI's taxonomy places the organism in Eukaryota, Viridiplantae, Streptophyta, Magnoliopsida, Rosales, Cannabaceae. The transcript has 4 exons. The record is from RefSeq and is a predicted model, not a curated record.